This 468-nucleotide ribosomal RNA is filed under the name uncultured bacterium. RNAcentral's name for it is "partial 16S ribosomal RNA". It matches the Rfam family "Bacterial small subunit ribosomal RNA", at positions 28 to 507 of the family's 1533-position model. The record is from RNAcentral.
GACGAACGCUGGCGGCGUGCUUAACACAUGCAAGUCGAGCGGAAAGGCCCUGCUUUUGUGGGGUGCUCGAGUGGCGAACGGGUGAGUAACACGUGAGUAACCUGCCCUUGACUUUGGGAUAACUUCAGGAAACUGGGGCUAAUACCGGAUAGGAGCUCCUGCUGCAUGGUGGGGGUUGGAAAGUUUCGGCGGUUGGGGAUGGACUCGCGGCUUAUCAGCUUGUUGGUGGGGUAGUGGCUUACCAAGGCUUUGACGGGUAGCCGGCCUGAGAGGGUGACCGGCCACAUUGGGACUGAGAUACGGCCCAGACUCCUACGGGAGGCAGCAGUGGGGAAUAUUGCACAAUGGGCGGAAGCCUGAUGCAGCAACGCCGCGUGCAGGAUGACGGCCUUCGGGUUGUAAACCGCUUUCGCCUGUGACGAAGCGUGAGUGACGGUAAUGGGUAAAGAAGCACCGGCUAACUACGUG